GAGUUUGAUCGUGGCUCAGAUUGAACGCUGGCGGCAUGCCUUACACAUGCAAGUCGAACGGCAGCACGGGAGCUUGCUCCUGGUGGCGAGUGGCGAACGGGUGAGUAAUGCAUCGGAACGUAUCCUGGAGUGGGGGAUAACGUAGCGAAAGUUACGCUAAUACCGCAUAUUCUGUGAGCAGGAAAGCGGGGGACCUUCGGGCCUCGCGCUCUUGGAGCGGCCGAUGUCGGAUUAGCUAGUUGGUGAGGUAAAGGCGUCACCAAGGCGACGAUCCGUAGCAGGUCUGAGAGGAUGGUAUCUGCCACACUGGAACUGAGACACGGUCCAGACUCCUACGGGAGGCAGCAGUGGGGAAUUUUGGAC
This 363-nucleotide ribosomal RNA is filed under the name bacterium enrichment culture clone ALO1_GLFRUDD03FNSE9. RNAcentral describes it as "bacterial SSU rRNA". It matches the Rfam family "Bacterial small subunit ribosomal RNA", at positions 9 to 369 of the family's 1533-position model. The record is from RNAcentral.